RNAcentral lists this ribosomal RNA (468 nucleotides) under uncultured bacterium. RNAcentral describes it as "partial 16S ribosomal RNA". It matches the Rfam family "Bacterial small subunit ribosomal RNA", at positions 28 to 507 of the family's 1533-position model. The record is from RNAcentral.
GACGAACGCUGGCGGCGUGCUUAACACAUGCAAGUCGAACGGAAAGGCCCUGCUUUUGUGGGGUGCUCGAGUGGCGAACGGGUGAGUAACACGUGAGUAACCUGCCCUUGACUUCGGGAUAACUUCAGGAAACUGGGGCUAAUACCGGAUAGGAGCUCCUGCUGCAUGGUGGGGGUUGGAAAGUUUCGGCGGUUGGGGAUGGACUCGCGGCUUAUCAGCUUGUUGGUGGGGUAGUGGCUUACCAAGGCUUUGACGGGUAGCCGGCCUGAGAGGGUGACCGGCCACAUUGGGACUGAGAUACGGCCCAGACUCCUACGGGAGGCAGCAGUGGGGAAUAUUGCACAAUGGGCGGAAGCCUGAUGCAGCAACGCCGCGUGCGGGAUGACGGCCUUCGGGUUGUAAACCGCUUUCGCCUGUGACGAAGCGUGAGUGACGGUAAUGGGUAAAAAAGCACCGGCUAACUACGUG